Molecule: ribosomal RNA, 1656 nt
Filed under: Triticum aestivum (bread wheat)
Lineage: Eukaryota; Viridiplantae; Streptophyta; Magnoliopsida; Poales; Poaceae
Description: partial small subunit ribosomal RNA
Source: RNAcentral
AUGUCUCCAAACUCCAUCGUGUGGACUUUGUUUCAGUUUACAACAAUAUAUAUUUAUGAGGUGUGCUCGCUGCCGCCGCCGCCGCGCCCCCGUCCCCCUCUCCCCGGUGCCCGUCCUCUUUCCACCGUCGCCGAAUCCGGACGAGACCGGCAGGAUCCGCCGCAUCUCACGCCCGCGGCCCGCCGUGGCUUUCGGCGGCAUCGGGGGCGCCGGUCCGCCCCCGCUCCUCCGGGGCUGGCAGAACGGCGGAGCGGCGCUCUGGUCAGGUUCCUCUGCUUCGAGGGCGGCGCGUGGGCUGAUGUCGAGGGCGAGGCGGCUGUGCCUCUGCGCCGGGCGUUCCUGGACGGGAGGGUGGUCGCAGAGGCCGCGUAUGGCGGCAGGGAGUUCCUGUUCGACUUCUUGUGGAUGGUGCGCAUCGACGCUGGCACCGCCGAGGUGGUCGCCAUGGGCUGGAUUGACCGCGGGGCCUGCUUCUUCCCUGUGCCAGAAAGCGGGAGGAAGAGGAAGAGGGGCGAGCAUGAGCUGGGGGACGGGGCCUCGUCCGAGGUGGAUGAGAGGUCCGACGAGAGCAGCGACGUGGUGGAGUCCUCAAUCCAGCCUAAUCUCCUGCCACUCUCAAGCACUCCCCGUGCAGCAGGCCUGAUGUGUAGGCUGCCAUGGCAAGGCUACAUCCAUGCAUUCGAGAGCGGGAUGAAGAGGAAGAGAGGCGAGCCUGAGCUGGAGUACGGGGCCUCGUCCGGGGUGGAUGAGAGGUCCAAAGAGAGCAGCGACAAGAUGCAGGGCCAGCUCCUAGCCGCUGCGCGCGGCGCCGACGGGGGCAAUGCCAAGUUCGCGUGGUAUGGCGCUCCAUCGGUGGAUGUGGCCGCGGCGGCGGUGGAGUACGGGUUCGGCAGGAUGAACAACCGGGUCCUUUUCCAUCGCGCGCACGGCGACGACGUCCACCUCUCGCCGCCUCGGUCUCCUUAUGCCAGUGCAAUGCUAGCAAAUGCAGAUGAGAACGGCGAGGCGCAUAUCAUGUUGUGCCGUGUUCUGUUGGGCCGGCCAGAGGCCAUCCCGGCCGGGUCCUCCAAGCUCCACCCCAGCAGUGACAAUUACGACAGUGCCAUCGACAACAUGCAGAAUCCACAGUGGUAUGUUGUUUGGGGCAAGGACAUGAACAUGAGGAUCCUCCCAGAGUACGUCGUCAGCUUCAAGUGUCCCAACCUCCAUCAGAUGCAAGGAUCAUCGGGAGCGAACUCCACGCUAAAGAAGCCUUCACCGGUGGCUCAUGACAUGUUUCCGACGCUUCUAGCAGAGAUCCAGUGGUUCAUGCCAUCUUCCAAGCUGCAGACAUUGCAGGGGACCUACAAUUGCUUCAAGAAGAAUGUUCUAUCAAAGCAACCAUGUCUGAUAUGUUCACAUGAAUUCUUUCAUGUGGCCGUCCCUCACAUUCCUUUGCUUUCAACUAUUCCAGCCAGCUGCAAUGAAGUCCUCCAUAGAGAAGGGUUUGCAGAAAAUGAUCUUGGCAUCCCAGAUAAGCAGGUCGGGGUCAAAGCCGGUGCCCAGGGGAUUUCAAUGGAUCACCAACACGAGAAACUGAAAUGGCAGGACCAGAAAAGAUGGUCCCAGAUCUCACUGCAGCCAGAUGUGCAAGAACACAUCAAUGAUCAUCUGUGA